This 473-nucleotide ribosomal RNA is filed under the name uncultured soil bacterium. Its description in RNAcentral is "bacterial SSU rRNA". It matches the Rfam family "Bacterial small subunit ribosomal RNA", at positions 26 to 518 of the family's 1533-position model. The record is from RNAcentral.
AGGACGAACGCUGGCGGCGUGCUUAACACAUGCAAGUCGAGCGGUAAGGCCUUUCGGGGUACACGAGCGGCGAACGGGUGAGUAACACGUGGGUGAUCUGCCCUGCACUUCGGGAUAAGCCUGGGAAACUGGGUCUAAUACCGGAUAUGACCUCCUAUCGCAUGGUGGGUGGUGGAAAGAUUUAUCGGUGCAGGAUGGGCCCGCGGCCUAUCAGCUUGUUGGUGGGGUAAUGGCCUACCAAGGCGACGACGGGUAGCCGACCUGAGAGGGUGACCGGCCACACUGGGACUGAGACACGGCCCAGACUCCUACGGGAGGCAGCAGUGGGGAAUAUUGCACAAUGGGCGAAAGCCUGAUGCAGCGACGCCGCGUGAGGAUGACGGCCUUCGGGUUGUAAACCUCUUCUAGCAGGACGAAGCGCAAGUGACGGUACCUGCAGAAGAAGCACCGGCUAACUACGUGCCAGCAGCCGC